UCAGUCGGCCGGACGGCUGCUCCGGCAACGGUCGAAAGGCCGCCGGGGAGGAAAGUCCGGGCUCCCUUGACAUACGGUGCCGGAUAACGUCCGGCGGGGGUGACCCCAGGGAAAGUGCCACAGAGAACGAACCGCCCUGCUUCGCCUUCGGGCUUCGCAGGGUAAGGGUGAAAAGGUGCGGUAAGAGCGCACCGCGGGUCCGGCAACGGAGCCGGCAUGGCAAACCCCACCGGGAGCAAAACCGAAUAGGGACGGCGUAGCGGGCUGUUCGCGGAAGCGAUAACGCCGCGGGGCGAUGUCAGGCCCGCCGUCCGGGUAGGUUGCUCGAGGCCAUGUGCAAACAUGGUCCCAGAGGAAUGGCCGUCACGUAUCGUUCGCGCAAGCAGACGGUGCCUUACAGAACCCGGCUUACAGGCCGGCUGAUAUU
RNAcentral lists this RNase P RNA (427 nucleotides) under Bradyrhizobium sp. MOS003. RNAcentral describes it as "RNase P RNA component class A". It matches the Rfam family "Bacterial RNase P class A". From Rfam's summary of the family: Ribonuclease P (RNase P) is a ubiquitous endoribonuclease, found in archaea, bacteria and eukarya as well as chloroplasts and mitochondria. Its best characterised activity is the generation of mature 5'-ends of tRNAs by cleaving the 5'-leader elements of precursor-tRNAs. Cellular RNase Ps are ribonucleoproteins. Lineage: Bacteria; Pseudomonadati; Pseudomonadota; Alphaproteobacteria; Hyphomicrobiales; Nitrobacteraceae. The record is from RNAcentral.